UGAUCGUUGGUGUUGUCGCUGUUGUUGUCAUGGGAUCAGUGCCUCACCACUUCAAUGUCAUGAUUCUUGGCCCAAGGCAGCCUUUGUAUGGAGGUGUCCAUUGUAUUGUUGGGAUAGUAGCAGAUGUGCCAUUGUUCUAUUGUGUAAUUCUGUCCGUUCUUGCUAUAUUCCUGUGUAAAGAAAUGUAUUCAAGAGAUGAGUUAUUGUGUUAUGUAAACCUGGGAGAUGUAUUAUGUGAUGUUAUAUGAUGC
RNAcentral lists this long non-coding RNA (251 nucleotides) under Hordeum vulgare. Its description in RNAcentral is "long non-coding RNA (HVUL_LNC018712)". Lineage: Eukaryota; Viridiplantae; Streptophyta; Magnoliopsida; Poales; Poaceae. The record is from RNAcentral.